This 72-nucleotide transfer RNA is filed under the name Caligus rogercresseyi. RNAcentral describes it as "tRNA-Cys". The record is from RNAcentral. Lineage: Eukaryota; Metazoa; Arthropoda; Copepoda; Siphonostomatoida; Caligidae.
AGGGGGCACACGGAGUUGAACCAUGGACCUAUCGAUCUGCAGUCGAUUGCUCUACCACUGAGCUAUACCCCA